UGUAUUUUGUUUUGUCAGGCACAGUUCUGCUUGGGAGGCUGUUUAGACAGUCGGUUUCUAUGGGAGUUCCCUGCUUGUGUAAAAGGGGUGAGGGAAGAGCAACUGGCAUGUACAAAACAGGCUAUGAAUAAGUCUAUGAGAAUUGCUUACAGUCCAAGACCAGAAUCUUCUUACCAACAGGAGCCGUUUCCAUCUCUGUAGCGUGUAAGCUACAGUGACCUGUCUUUCUGGCUGUCCUUCACAGUGCCCGUUACCUGAGAAUCUGGUGGUACUGCUGACUUGCCAAAAGCUUCCUGGAAAAGGGCUGUGUUUUAGGAUUGCUUAAUGUCUGCUUGCAAUUAAUAUUUUUAACAUUAAUGCUUUUUUCUCCCCCAUCCUCUUAGUGAACCUCUGGAUGAAGUUAUGACAACCUGUAGUCUUUUUUGGAAAGGGAACAGUUUUCUAACCUUAUAAACUACAAGGUGUUACCCAGUUUGUCAGCACAGAUGCUGGUGGAGUCAGGGUUGGGUCUCUUGCUUUGACUUAUUUCCUUCAGUGUAAGUUAGCAAAACUGAAAACAGAUCAGUGUGGGGUUGCUGGCAUGUGUUUAUGUAAAAAGAUUUAUCUGAAGGGAAUCUCAUGUGACCUGCAGUAGCAGGCUGGUCUAUGCCUGGCAAGUAUGGCAGAUUCUCCUUAGCUCUGCCAGUGUCCAUCAUCUGUGCUGCUGCAGGUCGCAGGUGCCCAGUGUUGCUAAAGAGCAUGUUUGAUCUGGGAUAUGAAGAAAAUUGGAUGAUGCUAUGGGGUGGAAACUAAACAGAUACAGUGGGGUGUGAUGAUGUGCACCUUGGUCUGUAGAGGUGAGGUUGCUGUAGGAGCCUGCUGGAUCAGCUCUCCUCUGACUUGGACUGACUUUAGAGGAAGCUAUGGAGGAAAAAAAAAUCUGAAGGUGGCAGGCCAUGGUUAGGGCUGUGUGAGGGGAGGAGUCUGGGGCUGCUCCCCAUCCAUGUGCUCAUGCGGGUAGGGGCACCAGGAAGACAGCCAACAUCUGUGUGACAGGCCUCACUUUCUUGUUCAUCCUCAGCCUGAUGUCAUGAGUAAUUCAACACCGAACAUCUUUGUUACUUAAACUAAUGAGAGGUUUUUGGUGGUGUCUGCUCAGCCAUGCUGGGACCCCCUGUCUUCCAUCGAAGGUCUCUUGCUUCCUAGAUUGCCUCUGUCUGAUGUUCAUGACCUUUUGCUUUCCUGCUAUUUGAUGCCCAGGAAUAACACAAUUGGUCACUCCUCCCUGUCUUCCUGGCAUUGUCAAUUUUCCAUGUUCAUACCCUUUAUUUUGCAGGGUUGUUUCCCUGCCAUGCACAUGCAACAAUUCAGUUGGUGUCCCUGUUCCUGGGGGUCGUUGUGCUUAGCCCCUUUCAUACUUCCAGCCCUCCUGCUGUCUGCUUCUUUCUCCCCUCUGGCCCUUUGCUCUCUGGUAUAGUAUGGUGCAGUAGAGCAAUGGCUGUUGAACUGUCUCCUAGUUGGAUUGUCUCCAUCCAUCUCUAGUCUCCCAUGGAUAAAAAACAUCCCUUCUGCCUGGGGUUGCUUCCUAAAUUCAUAGGAAUGGCUUUUCCACUGGGUAUUUAGUCUAGGCAGGAUGCCAUACGUGUCAACUUUUCUCUUGCUAAAACCUGUGCGUGCACUACCUGCACUGACCAUAGCUGAAAAGCUUCCUUGGAGCAGUUCAGUAAAUUAAAGCUGCCACUGGAGGGUGACAGAAUGUGAUCUGUUUUACCUUCCAGUCCAUUUUUCCUUGGAAACAGCAAAACUUCCAGAAUGGGACCCACCAAGUGGUCUUGAUCUCAUUUAACUGAGCUCUGUGCUUAACCCUUUGCUGUAAAGACUGCUUAAAUUAAGCUGAGUAGCAUCCGUUUUUUGUAUCUUGAAAAUACAAGGCUAAUAUCCCAAGGGCUUGUGAUGAUAUUGGACCUCUUUGGGUGAGAGGUAGGGCAAUAGCAAUAUUAGCAGAGCGUGCAGAGUGUGUCAAAAGAGGGGUUCGUGAGUGCAGGAGACAUUUUUGCAUGCAGCAUCUGAAAGUGCCAUAUGCCAUUUAAAGGCUGGACAAGUUUUUUGGGCAAGGGAACUGUCUGUCUUAAAUUAGAAGUAGCUGAAGCGUUGGAAUAGAAGUUAGUUCAGUCCUAGUGGGAAGUAACAGUUGAAAGUAGGGCUCAUUCAAGUCUGCUUCAACUAGGAGAUGUGUUAAAUAGCUGGGUGGAAAUGCUCAGCAAGCUUUGCCUCUCCCUAGUUGUGACUGCUGUUGGAGGGCAGAGUGGCCUUAUUCUGCUGAACUAAAUGCCUUUAAACCCAAGACAAAUAGAGGCAGUAGGGGGAAAGCUAGAACUGAACAAAGGAGAGAGAGAGGAGAAAGUCAUCUUGUGCAAGGGAGGUCUCUGGCAUCUGCAGAAGUCUGCUGUUGAGAAGGGAAGAAGACUGGAACAUUUGUGGCCUGAUGCAGACUGGCUCGCUGAUCAGGUAAGAAGUACAGGGGAUCAGAGCGGGUCUGAGUGUUUAGCAAGACUUCUCCAGUUGAAUGCAGCCUUUUCCUUGCUGUAGGCCGCCUGCUGUUCUCCAGUCACUUAAGUCACUCUGGCAUUGAAACAAAGUGGUGUAGGCAGCACUUCUAGCAGAGUUGCAAAGUAGCUUAGACCAGCUGUAAAUGUCACCUGGGGGCAGCAGGCAGGUGGCCUUCAGGGACAGGAGGCUGCUGGUGUACAUGGUAGGAGGUUCACUUGGUGCAAUUUUAAAGGCAAUCUGCUAGGCUUAGCAAUGUUAGCCAGGAGAGCUUUUGAAGGAUGAGCGUGUCUCCUAGUUGCCAGACAGACCAGAAGAGAGAGAGCAGGUUUGAACUGGAGGUUUCUGUCACAAUCUCCCACAGAUUUCCCUCACAAGGGGGUGGUUGUACUUGAUCGAGGCAGUUGCACUGCAAGAUUGAUAAUUUUGGGAGACUUGUUACUGUUGCUAUAUUUCAUUGUGCACCCAGCAAUGUUCUUUAAGUUGUCUUGUCCCCUCCAAGCAAGCCCUGAACGUGUUAAAACCUAAAUUUGUUCUCUCUUUAGGUAACUGCCUGGGAGGGUGGUUCCUGAAGGCCCUUAGAGGUCUGCGGUGACAGACCUCUGUGGGGGUAAAUCCUAACAAGGCUCCGUGUCCUCCUGGUGUCGUUGGUCUGGUUUCCCUUGGGUGACACAGUGCUGGUGCUUCUGCCUGGUGGUCUGGGAAGUGAAAGGAAGGUCUAAUGGCUGUGUGUCUUGGGCUCCAUUGGGAUGUCUGAGCAAAUUCUGGUUUGAAAACUGCUUUGAAUCGCACUUGGGAACUGAAACUGAAGCUGCCCGUGUCGGUGGCUGGCAGCUCGCCUGGCUCAGAUCAGCUGGCAGCUUUGUAGGCAGCAGGGAUGCGUCUGGACCAGCACCCGCACCUGCCUGCUGCUGUCCCGCGUGGCGGGGGGGCCGUGCGUGGGGGGGGCCGUGCGGCGCUAGGGGGCGCUGUGGCGCCGCGGAGCGCGAGUGGGGCCCACGCGGGGGUGGGGCACGUGGGUCCCAGCUGCGCUGCCCCGGGCCCCGAACUUUGAAGCUGAUUUUAACAAGCUUUAUUCUUUUGCACUUAUUAGAGCUCUGGUACAAAUCUGGGGUUCCCCUUCGCUCCCCCCGUCGCUGGGGGUGACCUGAGCGGCUGGGCAGCUGGUGCUGUGGUGCAUGCUCCAGCUGGGCUGGUGGAACUCACAGGGCUGGGGCAAAGCACCCGCCUGCCUUCUCCCAGGAGCCAGGCCGCUGCAGCCUGCUAGGGAGCCGUGCCCAGGAGGCACAGCACCCCUGGGUGCCUGGUGGGUGCAGGUAAAGCCAGCUGCUCAGCUGCAGGCAUUGAUCCCAUUAGCUUUGUUCCUGUUCCUCCCUUGGGUUGUGCUACUGCCAUUGCUCCCGCCAGGGAUGACUGUUCUGCACGCUGUUUGCAGAGGUGAUUCUCCAGUUAUUCAUCCUGUCCUAUAAAUUUCACAUAGGCCUUGGUGGCUGGGGAGGUAGUGGCACUUGGACACUUCUCUUCGAUACACAGAAUUAACGUACUACAUAAAUAAUGUUGGGGAUUUUGCUGGGGGUUAUUGUUGGUUCCCACUUGCCUGUCCCUGAAGUAAUACUGGCUGCUGAGGAGCUGCGUGGGCAGCGGUUGAGAGCCCUCCUGUUGCCUGGGGAUCUUGGGCAAGUCCUUUGGCCUUCCUCCUUUUGCUGUUUUUGAAAUAGGAAGGCUAUUACUCGCCUUUUUUAAAUACUGGGAGGGCUGUGGAUAGAAUGUGGAUAAAAAAUAUUUGUAGGAGUUGGGAGUGAUUAUAUGUUAUAUAAUGAGAGAGAAGAAUUAAGAAAAAAUAUAUGAAAAGAAGGAAUGUCUCUGUUUACAUGCACUCACAUAGGAUAACCUGGGCUGUUGUCAAUAAAAGGGCCUGGAGAGAUCGAUUUAUGAAUGUUGUUUAUUUCUCAGUUUUUCUGUCAAAGUGACUGUAAAAUUAUUUUGCUUAUGAGCAUCCUUUCAAUUUUAUUCUGAGGUCAAUGUGAGAAGUUGCUUGCCUGGAGGGGCAGUAUCUUUGCAUCACUGGUGUAUGUGGAACUUGGUAUUUGUUGUUUUCAUAUUUUUUGUUGUCUUGUGAAUCUGAAUUAGCUCUAAAUGCCACAUGGAUCUCUUUAUAGAGAUGUUGCUUGUGUUGGUGGUUUAAGCCUGAUUUAGCACAAUUCCUCUAUAUCCCCCAGUAGUUCAUACUUCAACAAAGUAAUUGUCUUGUGGUAUGCCUCCAGUCCUUAAAGAACAAAUAUAAUGACCAUAUCUUUUACAUUGGAAAUUCAGCCAGACUG
Molecule: long non-coding RNA, 4847 nt
Organism: Falco peregrinus (peregrine falcon)
Lineage: Eukaryota; Metazoa; Chordata; Aves; Falconiformes; Falconidae
Exons: 2
Source: RefSeq, a predicted model, not a curated record